This 77-nucleotide transfer RNA is filed under the name Chloroflexota bacterium. RNAcentral's name for it is "tRNA-Val". It matches the Rfam family "tRNA". Rfam says of the family: Transfer RNA (tRNA) molecules are approximately 80 nucleotides in length. Their secondary structure includes four short double-helical elements and three loops (D, anti-codon, and T loops). The record is from RNAcentral. Lineage: Bacteria; Bacillati; Chloroflexota.
AUUUCUGUAGCUCAGUAGGUUAGAGCGUUGCCUUGACAUGGCAAAGGUCAUCAGUUCGAUUCUGAUCAGAAAUACCA